AGUGAACGCUGGCGGUAGGCCUAACACAUGCGAGUCGAACGGCAGCACAGUAAGAGCUUGCUCUUACGGGUGGCGAGUGGCGGACGGGUGAGGAAUACAUCGGAAUCUACUUUUUCGUGGGGGAUAACGUAGGGAAACUUACGCUAAUACCGCAUACGACCUACGGGUGAAAGCAGGGGAUCUUCGGACCUUGCGCGAUUGAAUGAGCCGAUGUCGGAUUAGCUAGUUGGCGGGGUAAAGGCCCACCAAGGCGACGAUCCGUAGCUGGUCUGAGAGGAUGAUCAGCCACACUGGAACUGAGACACGGUCCAGACUCCUACGGGAGUCAGCAGUGUGGAAUAUUGGACAAUGGUCGCAAGCCUGAUCCAGCCAUACCGCGUGGGUGAAGAAGGCCUUCGGGUUGUAAAGCCCUUUUGUUGGGAAAGAAAAGCAGCAGGUUAAUACCCCGCUGUUCUGACGGUACCCAAAGAAUAAGCACCGGCUAACUUCGUG
This 492-nucleotide ribosomal RNA is filed under the name uncultured bacterium. RNAcentral's name for it is "partial 16S ribosomal RNA". It matches the Rfam family "Bacterial small subunit ribosomal RNA", at positions 29 to 507 of the family's 1533-position model. The record is from RNAcentral.